AAACUUCACCGAGAGCAUUUCUCUCUUUUUCGAUGUAUAUUUUAUAAUUAUGUGUUUGAAAAUAAAGUUUUCUUUUUAAAAAGGUGUUUGGUUACCCCAGAACUAUAACUGGCGCCCGAACUACCUUCCUUACGUUUUUUCGAGGUUGUUCAUUUAACAACAAGUUUUUUUCGAUUCGCGAUCUUUAAUUUCGACUUCGUGAAAAAUCCGGAAAACCAGUGAGUGAGGUGAACCCUUCAAGACAAGUUCUCUGCGUACCACACCUGCGACCUUCGAAGUUCAACCUGGCAGACAACGAAGACUCCUUCCACAAAUUUGAGACGGAAGUAAAACUACCAUCAACUGACGUGAUGGUACUGCCCCUAAUUCUCCUGUUGCUGGCCCCAGCAACGUCUUAUAAGAUGGUAGAUUUGAGCAGAACAUCUGGUAUUGCUCCAAUCAAGAUACAGAAUUCUCAUAUAAUUAAUGAAACUUUCACCUAUGUUCAUAAUAUUAAUACUAGUUAUUUACGUUUAGAAUUAAGUAAUAUUGAAACAUUUGUUGAUUUUCUCGCUAAAAGGAAUAAUAUUGAUAAGAGUCGCUUAAGUAUGAUGAAAUUGAAUUUGAAAUA
Molecule: long non-coding RNA, 610 nt
Organism: Nilaparvata lugens (brown planthopper)
Lineage: Eukaryota; Metazoa; Arthropoda; Insecta; Hemiptera; Delphacidae
Exons: 2
Source: RefSeq, a predicted model, not a curated record